AGGACGAACGCUGGCGGCGUGCUUAACACAUGCAAGUCGAGCGGAAAGGCCCUUCGGGGUACUCGAGCGGCGAACGGGUGAGUAACACGUGAGUAACCUGCCCCUAGCUCUGGGAUAGCUCCGGGAAACCGGGAUUAAUACCAGAUACGACCACUUUAGACAUCUGUCGUGGUGGAAAGGAUUCCGGCUAGGGAUGGGCUCGCGGCCUAUCAGCUUGUUGGUGGGGUAACGGCCUACCAAGGCGACGACGGGUAGCCGGCCUGAGAGGGCGACCGGCCACACUGGGACUGAGACACGGCCCAGACUCCUACGGGAGGCAGCAGUGGGAAUAUUGCGCAAUGGGCGAAAGCCUGACGCAGCGACGCCGCGUGGGGGAUGAAGGCCUUCGGGUUGUAAACCCCUUUCAGCAGGGACGAAGCGAAAGUGACGGUACCUGCAGAAGAAGCGCCGGCUAACUACGCGCCAGCAGCCGC
This 473-nucleotide ribosomal RNA is filed under the name uncultured bacterium. RNAcentral's name for it is "SSU rRNA". It matches the Rfam family "Bacterial small subunit ribosomal RNA", at positions 26 to 518 of the family's 1533-position model. The record is from RNAcentral.